Molecule: ribosomal RNA, 495 nt
Filed under: uncultured bacterium
Lineage: Bacteria
Description: partial 16S ribosomal RNA
Rfam family: Bacterial small subunit ribosomal RNA
Source: RNAcentral
GACGAACGCUGGCGGCGUGCCUAAUACAUGCAAGUAGAACGCUGAAGGAGGAGCUUGCUUCUCUGGAUGAGUUGCGAACGGGUGAGUAACGCGUAGGUAACCUGCCUGGUAGCGGGGGAUAACUAUUGGAAACGAUAGCUAAUACCGCAUAAUAGCAGUUGUUGCAUGACAACUGUUUGAAAGGUGCAAUUGCACCACUACCAGAUGGACCUGCGUUGUAUUAGCUAGUUGGUGGGGUAACGGCUCACCAAGGCGACGAUACAUAGCCGACCUGAGAGGGUGAUCGGCCACACUGGGACUGAGACACGGCCCAGACUCCUACGGGAGGCAGCAGUAGGGAAUCUUCGGCAAUAGACGGAAGUCUGACCGAGCAACGCCGCGUGAGUGAAGAAGGUUUUCGGAUCGUAAAGCUCUGUUGUAAGAGAAGAACGAGUGUGAGAGUGGAAAGUUUACACUGUGACGGUAUCUUACCAGAAAGGGACGGCUAACUACGUG